GGCUCACGUCGGAGGGGUACAAGAUGUGGAGCUUGGAUGAGGGGGAGGAGGAGAAAGAUAAUGUGUUUGACAUUGGAGAGAUUGCACAGGAUGCUAGCGAAACUAGCACCGAGACUAGUGUGAAUCUGGAGAUUGACCAGAUUGAGGAUCCGAAAGAGCUCGAGAGAGAGGAAGAGGAGCUCACUGCCAUACUUAAGGGUCCAAAUCGCGCAUUCGGUGACCUAAUUGCAGCAUCUGGAAUCACUGAUGCAAUGUUGGACAGUUUGAUUGCAUUAAAGGAUUUUGAAGGGGUUGAGGGAUUGCCUCCUCUAAGUGAAAUAGAGGACAUGCGUUAUGAAAAGACCACAAGAAAAUCCAUGAGAUCUGAAAUAGAGCGUCGAAAACAGGAAGAAGUUGCCAAAGCUAGAGUGAGACUAGUAGAUGACAAAGGAAGAGCUUAUGGAACAGGACGAAGGAAAUGUAGUGUGGCCCGUGUUUGGAUUCAACCUGGUGAUGGAAAAUUCUUAGUUAAUGAUAAACAAUUUGAUGUAUAUUUCCCAAUGCUUGAUCAUCGUUCUACCCUGUUGCGACCCUUUACUGAAACAAAGACCUUGGGUCUUUGGGAUGUCAAUUGUACUGUGAAAGGAGGUGGUGUUUCUGGUCAAAUUGGAGCUAUACAGCUGGGGAUCAGCCGUGCCUUGCAAAGUUGGGAACCUGAUUUACGUCCACCUCUAAGAAGUGCUGGUUUCUUGACAAGGGACCCACGUGUGGUUGAAAGGAAGAAACCAGGAAAAGCAAAAGCAAGAAAGAGCUUUCAAUGGGUCAAACGUUGAUCAAUGGUUACAAGCUUGCAGUUCGUACAACUACUUUUUGUUUGGAAACCUGGUAUUCACAUCAUUAGCCGGUAGCUUGGAGGCUUGUUAGCUGGCCUGAAAUUUCUUUUAUAAUGCAACUUGUAGUUCGUAGUUACACC
Molecule: unclassified non-coding RNA, 952 nt
Filed under: Hevea brasiliensis (rubber tree)
Lineage: Eukaryota; Viridiplantae; Streptophyta; Magnoliopsida; Malpighiales; Euphorbiaceae
Source: RNAcentral